RNAcentral lists this ribosomal RNA (414 nucleotides) under uncultured bacterium. RNAcentral's name for it is "bacterial SSU rRNA". It matches the Rfam family "Bacterial small subunit ribosomal RNA", at positions 504 to 918 of the family's 1533-position model. The record is from RNAcentral.
CGUGCCAGCAGCCGCGGUAAUACGGAGGGGGUUAGCGUUGUUCGGAAUUACUGGGCGUAAAGCGCGCGUAGGCGGAUUAGAAAGUUGGGGGUGAAAUCCCGGGGCUCAACCCCGGAACUGCCUCCAAAACUGCUAGUCUAGAGUUCGAGAGAGGUGAGUGGAAUUCCGAGUGUAGAGGUGAAAUUCGUAGAUAUUCGGAGGAACACCAGUGGCGAAGGCGGCUCACUGGCUCGAUACUGACGCUGAGGUGCGAAAGUGUGGGGAGCAAACAGGAUUAGAUACCCUGGUAGUCCACACCGUAAACGAUGAAUGCCAGUCGUCGGGUAGUAUACUAUUCGGUGACACACCUAACGGAUUAAGCAUUCCGCCUGGGGAGUACGGUCGCAAGAUUAAAACUCAAAUGAAUUGACGGGG